Asparagus officinalis (garden asparagus) is the source of this 3672-nucleotide RNA transcript. It is a transcript of the gene named disease resistance protein RGA2-like, with no coding region annotated. The record is from RefSeq and is a predicted model, not a curated record. The transcript is spliced from 3 exons. Lineage: Eukaryota; Viridiplantae; Streptophyta; Magnoliopsida; Asparagales; Asparagaceae.
UCCUAUUACGUAAAUUUAUUGUAUACAAUACACAAGUAGUUGUAAUAUAUUAAAAAAAAUUGACUGUUAGCAUUCUUCAGGUCAACCAACCAUUUGCUGGGGCAUCUUAUAGCUGCAGCAAAAACCUGCAAAUCCCUGAACAAUCCUCAAACGAAACCCACAUCCACAUCCCUCCGUUUCUUUUCCUCCACAAUGGUGGUCGUUGAAGCGCUCAUGGUCUCUGCCCUUGUGAGCACGCUCACCGCAAAUGCAGGCACGCUGCUCAACCGGGAGCUGGGAUUAGCAUGGGAUGCAAAGUUGGAGCUAAGGAAACUCGUCAGCACGCUGUCAACGAUCGAAACCAUGCUUCAGGCCUCCGAAGAGAUGCCGAGCCACAACCGAGAAAUGCAGCAAUGGCUGCGAAAGCUUCAGGAUGCGGUUGACGAGGCCACGAUCCUGCUCGACAGUUUCUUCCUGAAGAAAGGUCAACUCUUCCCACUCUCCAGUAAAUUUCCAUAUAUCAAUGGGCCUGCUCAUGAUAUUAAGGAUAUUAAGGAGAUAAUAGAGGCACUUGGCAAAGAGAAAGGCUUCCUUUCGGAUGCCAGAGGAAAUAACGUCACAGUUGCAGUUCAAGAAGCAACUGACCCUUCUCUUCCUCAUUCAGAAGUCCACGAGAGAGUGGCAGAGAAAGAAGUCAUUGUAGAACUUCUAAGAGACACUAGUUGUCAGGAAAAGAUCUCUGUCAUUCCGAUCGUCGGCAUCCCAGGAAUUGGGAAAACAACUCUCGCAAAGAUGGCAUUCAAUGAUAAUCGGGUGACAGAGGAGUUCAGAAAUGGGUUGAUGAUAUGGGUUUGGGUGUCUGACGGUAUUGAUGUCAAGAAAAUAGCACAAGAUAUUCUACAGUCUGCAGCCUCGCAGAAUCGUGUUGUUAAGUCAUAUUGGAAUUGGUUAAGGACGCACCUUCAACAAAUAUUGCCUGGGAGAAAAUCCUUAGAGCCUACGGCCUCACAGAAUCAUGUUGACAAUCCAAACUGGGAUCAGACGAAGACGCGCCUUCAACAAAUAUUACAAGGAAAAAAAUUCCUACUGGUUCUCGACAACGUCUGGAAUGACAGCGGAAAGAACUGGGAUGAGCUUAAGCAUAUCUUAGAGGAAGGCGAACAUGGAAGUAAAGUCAUAGUAACCACCCGAAACAAUAAAGUAGCAAAUAUAAUGAAAACAACCAACCCCUAUCACCUAGAAGGUUUAAAAGAGUCUUCUUGCUGGUCAAUAUUUGCGCAAACAGCAUUUAAGGGAAGACAGAAUAUAAACCAGUUCUUGGAAGAAAUCGGAUGGAAGAUUGCAGGAAAAUCCAAAGGAGUGCCUCUGGCCGCAGAAGCUCUUGGGAGGUUGAUGCACCAGAAAGAUGAGGCUGAGUGGUUAUCCGUCAAAAACUCUGAAAUAUGGAACUUAGCCGAAGAGAAUGAAAUUUUAAACACACUCAGGAUGAGUUAUAAGCACCUACCCAAGCAUGCAUACAGGUGCUUGGCGUAUUGUUCCGUAUUUCCCAGAGAUUACGAAAUUGACAGAGACAUUAUAAUCAAACUCUGGAUAGCCCAUGAUUUCAUUCAACCAAAAGGAAGUAAGGAGGUGGAAGACAUAGGUCAUGAUACCUUUCAGCACCUUCUCGAUAGGUUCUUCUUCCAACCCCUUCGGAAAGACGAAGAAGGCAGAACAACGACAUUCAAAUUACAUGCGCUCAUCUAUGAUCUUGCAAGAUGUGAGAUGGAAAUCAGCAUCAACCGCCACUUUUUUAGCUACGGGUCCGUAUCAGAUGUUCCUAAAAAUGUGUAUUUGCGCACGCUCUGCCUAUUAAAUUGUCCACAAAGGUCUGCUCCUGAGGUUCAAGGUCCUAUCUACAAUAAAUUUCGACUUUUGCGGGCAUUAGAUCUGAGUAACAGUGCUGUCACAUUUCUUCCAGACUCGGUGGGCGGUAUAAUGCAUCUUAGAUACAUUAACCUUUCUGGCACUGACAUAGAAAGCUUACCCGCAGCUCUCUCUGGUCUCGAGAAUUUACAGUCACUGAUAUUGAAAAGGUGUUUAAAGCUUCGUAAAUUACCUCCAAAGAUGAGGAAGAUGAAAAGCCUCAGGCAUCUAGAUGUUGAUGAAUGUGAAUCCCUUGACCACAUGCCGAACCGAAUCGGUCAACUGCAAUUCCUGCAAACACUGCCGAUAUUCAUUGUGGGUAAGGAGAAAGGGUACAACAUGCGACAGUUGGGGGCGCUCAAUCUUCGAGGCAAACUAGAUAUUAGAUACCUUGGGAAUGUUGAAAAUGGAUCAGAAGCGGGGGAUGCAAACUUGAAGGAGAAGGAACACCUCAACACUUUGUCCUUAUCAUGGAAAGCAGGCAAUUGUAGAAAUUUGCCAGGCUCUGAUAAGGUGUUUGAUGCACUCCAGCCACAUAAGUAUCUGAAAAGAUUAUCAGUACAAGAGUACAAGGGAAAAAGCUUCGCCAGUUGGCUUAACAGUUACUGUCUUCCAAAUCUGGUGGAACUCACUCUGAUUAACUGCAGAGGAUGCGAGAGUCUUCCACCCCUUGGGGAGCUACCAUCACUUAAGAGUCUAACGAUUGGGGGACUUGAUGCCGCCAGGUGCUUUGGUAAAGCUUUCUAUGGAUUCAAUACUCAACUAGCUGCAUUUCCAUCGUUGGAAGAACUCAACUGCUUAGACAUGAUUUGCCUGGAGUCAUGGGAAUCAGAGAAAGAAGACUCGUUUCCCCGUCUCUCAGUGCUCAUUAUUAAAAGAUGCUCGAAACUGUCAAACCUUCCACGGAUAUCCUCGAGGUCACUCAGGCACUUGGAAAUAGUAGAUUGUCCUAAUCUUGAUUCGACUAAGGCAACUAAGGCCCUCAAAAACCUCCAUUUUAUAACGUCGCUGAAGAUAGAACGUUGUGAUCGGCUGAUGUCUUUGCCAGAAGGUUUGAGAAGACUUACAUCACCUUGACUAUUCAGAAGUGUACCAUAAAGGUUUGUGAUAGAACGUUGCUGCAUUUCCAAAUGCUCACCUUCUGCUCCAGACGAUAGCCUCCUCGAGAUAUUGUUGAUCAGAACCAACUCUUAUUGCUGAGACAUGGAUGAAUUUGUUGCCCGUUCGUAAAACACAUAGGCUAUGGUGGCUUGACAGUGAGCUCCAGUAUAAAGAACAUCCUCAGCGUCUUCAUUACCAGCAUGCUACCUCACCCUUCUAAUGCAAUUCCUCUACAUUUUUAUUGCCUCUCUUUGUCUCCCCUUCUUUUGUGAUAUCUUCUUGUAAUUUUUUAUAAACUGGAUGUAGACGGCAAAUAAUUUUUCCUAUUGUUGGGAAAUCAAGGGGAUACCAGAAUAACAGUUUACCUUAAUAAACUUUCAGUUGCUCAAUAUAAGAUGAAGAUUAAAGGCAAGAGUCAUUGCCUAAACAAAGACAUUCAAGUUAUAGUAAAUAGUAAUAAUUUAUCAUAUCAACUUAUAUUAACCAAAAGAUAAAAGAAAUUAAUAUUUGAUAUCCAUGUAAUAAGAUGGUAAAGACACUAUAUUCUUUUCUAUUAACAUACCAUUGCCAUCUUCUGUUAUAGCCUGUUCUGUUGAGGGCUUUAUCUGUAUGCAAACACAAUUAUGGUGAGGUUCUUUUAUUUUUUCCAAACAUGAACUAAAAGUUGAGUUAUCCAAAUCACUGAAA